This 73-nucleotide transfer RNA is filed under the name Candidatus Woesebacteria bacterium. RNAcentral describes it as "tRNA-Ala". It matches the Rfam family "tRNA". From Rfam's summary of the family: Transfer RNA (tRNA) molecules are approximately 80 nucleotides in length. Their secondary structure includes four short double-helical elements and three loops (D, anti-codon, and T loops). RNAcentral also lists the same sequence under 1 other name. The record is from RNAcentral. Lineage: Bacteria; Candidatus Woeseibacteriota.
GGGCCCAUAGCGUAGUUGGUAGCGCGUUCCCAUGGCAUGGGAAAGGUCAGGGGUUCGAGUCCCCUUGGGUCCA